RNAcentral lists this unclassified non-coding RNA (343 nucleotides) under soil metagenome. RNAcentral's name for it is "partial contains 5.8S ribosomal RNA, internal transcribed spacer 2, and large subunit ribosomal RNA". The stretch from base 1 to 120 matches the Rfam family "5.8S ribosomal RNA", at positions 35 to 154 of the family's 154-position model. The record is from RNAcentral.
GAUGAAGAACGUAGUGAAAUGCGAUAAGUAAUGUGAAUUGCAGAAUUCAGUGAAUCAUCGAAUCUUUGAACGCACAUUGCGCCCAUUAGUAUUCUAGUGGGCAUGCCUGUUCGAGCGUCAUUUCAACCCUUAAGCCCCUGUUGCUUAGCGUUGGGAGCCUACAGCCUGCUGUAGUUCCUCAAAGUUAGUGGCGGAGUCAGUUCACACUCUAGACGUAGUAAAAUCUUUAUCUCGCCUAUAGAUGAGCUGGCGCCUUGCCGUAAAAACCCCUAAUCUUUUACAAGGUUGACCUCGGAUCAGGUAGGAAUACCCGCUGAACUUAAGCAUAUCAAUAAGCGGAGGA